This 490-nucleotide ribosomal RNA is filed under the name uncultured bacterium. RNAcentral describes it as "partial 16S ribosomal RNA". It matches the Rfam family "Bacterial small subunit ribosomal RNA", at positions 30 to 507 of the family's 1533-position model. The record is from RNAcentral.
AUUGAACGCUGGCGGCAUGCUUUACACAUGCAAGUCGGACGGCAGCACAGAGAAGCUUGCUUCUUGGGUGGCGAGUGGCGAACGUGUUAGUAACAUAUCUGAACGGACCGAGCGGUGGGGGAUAACUAAUCGAAAGAUUAGCUAAUACCGCAUAUUGUCUGAGGAAGAAAGCAGGGGACCUUUGGGCCUUGCGCUGUUUGAGCGGCCGGUAUCGGAUUAGCGAGUUGGUGGGGUAAAGGCCUACCAAGGCGACGAUCAGUAGCGGGUCUGAGAGGAGGAUCCGCCACACUGGGACUGAGACACGGCCCAGACUCCUACGGGAGGCAGCAGUGGGGAAUUUUGGACAAUGGGCGCAAGCCUGAUCCAGCCAUGCCGCGUGUCUGAAGAAGGCCUUCGGGUUGUAAAGGACUUUUGUCAGGGAAGAAAAGGGCGGGGUUAAUACCCCUGUCUGAUGACGGUACCUGAAGAAUAAGCACCGGCUAACUACGUG